Long non-coding RNA from Arabidopsis lyrata subsp. lyrata, 805 nucleotides. RefSeq lists it as uncharacterized. Lineage: Eukaryota; Viridiplantae; Streptophyta; Magnoliopsida; Brassicales; Brassicaceae. The transcript has 2 exons. The record is from RefSeq and is a predicted model, not a curated record.
CAAAUCAGGUAGCUGAGUGUAGCAUCAUCAGGAUUCUCGUUCUCCCCGCCUUCAUUCUCAAAGUCUUCUUCAAUCUGAAUCUCUUCCCAGUCCCUAUGUCAUUCGCCAAACUGUUUACACAUAUCAUGAACUACCCAAAAGAUACACUGUAGCUUCCUUUGCCAAACUUGAAGGCAAGUCUUUCUAGGAGACAAAGAUAUUCAAUUCAUCUUUUGCUCAGCACACAAGUUGCAUUUUCCUCCUCUCGUUUAGUAUUGCAUGACACGAAGUCAUUGUUUCAAUAACAAGGAAAAUGCAAUCUACUUUAACAAGGAACACUACAAUUACAAUCUACAUUAAUGCCAUCAUUGAUAUCUCUGCUUAAUAUGUGGAAAACUACUACUAACUUGUUUUUUCUUUCUGAUCUUAUCAUUGAGCUAAUGUUAAGCUCGACCUCAACUUGGGAAUCUCUCUUUCACUGGGAGAUGGUCCAAAGCAAAAAGAUAGGGCCCUCCGGCUUCACCAUGUCUCUAACAGUAAGAUAGAUGGAGACCCAUAUGGCUGCAGCGGCAUGUGAUACGCCUUUCAAUUUCUUGAAGAGGGGUUCAGACCAUCUUACUAACCGGCAUGCCCUUCCUUCUGCGUUCUUUUCACCCCAUGGUAUAUAGUAAAAUACAUUAGCACACAUCUUGUUAUAUCCAACUGUUUCUCACUGCCACACAUUUAUAACUUGCACAAUCUUUUUUUGUACCUUUUGUCCAGAACUAAUAAUACACCAUAUGAAAUAGAAUGACAAUCUAUAAAUUUAUCGAACUUUAAGGAGUAA